GACGAACGCUGGCGGCGUGCUUAACACAUGCAAGUCGAACGGAAAGGCCAUGCUUUUGUGGGGUGCUCGAGUGGCGAACGGGUGAGUAACACGUGAGUAAAAUGCCCUUGACUUUGGGAUAACAUCAGGAAACUGCGGCUAAUACCGGGUAGGAGCUCCUGAUGCAUGGUGGUGGUUGGAGAGUGUCGGCGGUGCGGGAUGGACUCGCGGCUUAUCAGCUUGUUGGUGGGGUAGUGGCUUACCAAGUCUUUGACGGGUAGCCGGCCUUGGAGGGUGACCGGCCACAUUGGGACUGAGAUACGGCCCAGACUCCUACGGGAGGCAGCAGUGGGGAAUAUUGCACAGUGGGCGGAAGCCUGUUGCAGCAACGCCGCGUGCGGGAUGACGGCCUUCGGGUUGUAAACCGCUUUCGCCUGUGACGAAGCGUGAGUGACGGUAAUGGGUAAAGAAGCACCGGCUAACUACGUG
RNAcentral lists this ribosomal RNA (468 nucleotides) under uncultured bacterium. Its description in RNAcentral is "partial 16S ribosomal RNA". It matches the Rfam family "Bacterial small subunit ribosomal RNA", at positions 28 to 507 of the family's 1533-position model. The record is from RNAcentral.